RNAcentral lists this long non-coding RNA (543 nucleotides) under Homo sapiens (human). RNAcentral describes it as "HSALNT0279587". Lineage: Eukaryota; Metazoa; Chordata; Mammalia; Primates; Hominidae. The record is from RNAcentral.
UGAAUAUCAAAUUCAGGAUAAAACACCACUGAUUCUCGGUCAUUCUCAGUAGGGGAAGGAGCUUCUAUUCUUGACCCAGCCCACGACACGUGCCGGGGCUGUCAGCGCCGUGAGAGGCACCUGUGUCUCCCCGAGCUGAGGACGGAUGACAUUUGUACCUACAGGGGUAAAAAAAGAUAAAGCAAACACGGAACAGCACACUCCUCCCGGCCUUCCUUCUUCUGACACCGUUUUCCUUUAGAAGAUCUGAAACUACAAGUCAGGACAUGACACGUGGAGCGUCCCAGGCACGCGCAGCCUCUGCUGUUUGAUUUCCGACGUGAGUCUAUAGGUGAGGCUGACAGGUUUCAGAUGGAAGAGGCAGGGCAGACGCCUUUCAAGAGAGGCGCGUUGUCUGGGUAAAUCCAUCAAGGGUGCGUCCUGGGAGACGACGGGCCGCCUUUGUAGACAACGCCACGGCACGGGGGCCCCCCACGCUGGGCGCCCACCCCGGCUGGCUGACAGGCGGCCCCCGUUUCACCGUGAUCACGAGUAAAAGCCAGU